Molecule: ribosomal RNA, 600 nt
Filed under: Aeromicrobium halocynthiae
Lineage: Bacteria; Bacillati; Actinomycetota; Actinomycetes; Propionibacteriales; Nocardioidaceae
Description: bacterial SSU rRNA
Rfam family: Bacterial small subunit ribosomal RNA
Source: RNAcentral
UACACGAGCGGCGAACGGGUGAGUAACACGUGAGCAACCUGCCCUUCUCAUCGGAAUAAGCGUUGGAAACGACGUCUAAUGCCGAAUACGACCUCAGAAGGCAUCUUCAGAGGUGGAAAGCUCCGGCGGAGAAGGAUGGGCUCGCGGCCUAUCAGCUUGUUGGUGGGGUAACGGCCCACCAAGGCGACGACGGGUAGCCGGCCUGAGAGGGUGACCGGCCACACUGGGACUGAGACACGGCCCAGACUCCUACGGGAGGCAGCAGUGGGGAAUAUUGGACAAUGGGCGAAAGCCUGAUCCAGCAACGCCGCGUGAGGGAUGACGGCCUUCGGGUUGUAAACCUCUUUCAGCACCGACGAAGCGAAAGUGACGGUAGGUGCAGAAGAAGGACCGGCCAACUACGUGCCAGCAGCCGCGGUAAUACGUAGGGUCCGAGCGUUGUCCGGAAUUAUUGGGCGUAAAGGGCUCGUAGGCGGUUUGUCGCGUCGGGAGUGAAAACUCAGGGCUCAACCCUGAGCGUGCUUCCGAUACGGGCAGACUAGAGGUAUGCAGGGGAGAACGGAAUUCCUGGUGUAGCGGUGGAAUGCGCAGAUAUCAGGA